This 390-nucleotide long non-coding RNA is filed under the name Bos taurus (domestic cattle). RNAcentral's name for it is "long non-coding RNA NONBTAT023390". The record is from RNAcentral. Lineage: Eukaryota; Metazoa; Chordata; Mammalia; Artiodactyla; Bovidae.
AAACAAGGAAAUAAAAGAGGAAGAACUAUAUUUCCUUCUUCUGGGGAGAAGGGAGGGUACUUUUUAAAGUCUUUCUAGCCUAGCUGGAAGUCCAUUCCAACUGGCUGUGGGCACUUGCCUCCACAUUAAUGUAUCUGUAAAAGCACAGAUAUUAAGUCUAGUGAAAGGUUCAGGUUAAAGCACAGAAACACAUUCAACAAGAGGAGGAAGCAAGAAAAUGGCAGCAGUGUCCCUCUGAAAAGCCAGGUGGGGUCAGAAGGGCACAAGAAGGCACACCUAGGGCACCUCAGGCAUAUUUCUUUGAAACCACCCAAUUGGCCCAGGGGAUCUGAGUUAGUACACUAAGGGACCCGUCACUAGAAGCCAAGAUUAGGAGACAGCCCUCUCUAU